UACGUAGGGUCCGAGCGUUGUCCGGAAUUACUGGGCGUAAAGAGCUUGUAGGCGGUCUGUCGCGUCUGCUGUGAAAAUCCGGGGCUCAACCCCGGACUUGCAGUGGGUACGGGCAGACUAGAGUGUGGUAGGGGAGACUGGAAUUCCUGGUGUAGCGGUGAAAUGCGCAGAUAUCAGGAGGAACACCGAUGGCGAAGGCAGGUCUCUGGGCCAUAACUGACGCUGAGAAGCGAAAGCAUGGGGAGCGAACAGG
Molecule: ribosomal RNA, 253 nt
Filed under: uncultured bacterium
Lineage: Bacteria
Description: partial 16S ribosomal RNA
Rfam family: Bacterial small subunit ribosomal RNA
Source: RNAcentral